GAAUGAGCGAGCGCGAAAGAGCGGACUUGUUUGGAGACCGAACCAUGAAAAGAUUAUAGUUUGAAAGUAAGUAUAAAGCAACUUGUGCGCGUCAGUCAAAUAAUAGACCUGACUGAGGUCAUGAAAGAGCAGUCAAAGAGCUAAGAAACAAUCC
This 154-nucleotide ribosomal RNA is filed under the name Spirirestis rafaelensis UB1-KK1. Its description in RNAcentral is "partial leader 16S ribosomal RNA". The record is from RNAcentral. Lineage: Bacteria; Bacillati; Cyanobacteriota; Cyanophyceae; Nostocales; Tolypothrichaceae.